Molecule: long non-coding RNA, 307 nt
Filed under: Phoenix dactylifera (date palm)
Lineage: Eukaryota; Viridiplantae; Streptophyta; Magnoliopsida; Arecales; Arecaceae
Description: long non-coding RNA (PDAC_LNC013257)
Source: RNAcentral
AACGUGGAAGCUUGGGAGAUUUGAUCGCAGAAGGCUGAGAUGUAGAUGAGAUGCUAAUCCGGAAGCAGUGGACGCUCGCAAACGGAAUGCGGAGAUGGAGCCGGCUCGCGGACAGUUGGUCGUAGGAGGAUCGGACUGCUGGCGCUUGGAUGGAGUUGCUCGCGAACGGCUAUCUGGCAGACAUCCGGAUGCGCGAAUCUGCAGAAGGCUGAAGAUCGUGGGAUGCUGGAAUCGCGGGAUGCCGGGUGGAUGCUUCGCGAUUCUUCCACGCGGGCGGAUGGGCUGCACACGGCUCAGAUGCUUGGGC